UGAAGAGCUUGCUUUUCAAAGUUAGUGGCGGACGGGUGAGUAACGCGUGGGUAACCUGCCUCAUACAGGGGAAUAGCAGCUGGAAACGGCUGAUAAAACCGCAUAAGCGCACAGUGCCGCAUGGCACAGUGUGAAAAACUCCGGUGGUAUGAGAUGGACCCGCGUCUGAUUAGCUUGUUGGCGGGGUAACGGCCCACCAAGGCGACGAUCAGUAGCCGGCCUGAGAGGGUGAUCGGCCACAUUGGGACUGAGACACGGCCCAAACUCC
RNAcentral lists this ribosomal RNA (268 nucleotides) under uncultured Lachnospiraceae bacterium. RNAcentral describes it as "partial 16S ribosomal RNA". It matches the Rfam family "Bacterial small subunit ribosomal RNA", at positions 72 to 339 of the family's 1533-position model. Lineage: Bacteria; Bacillati; Bacillota; Clostridia; Lachnospirales; Lachnospiraceae. The record is from RNAcentral.